Long non-coding RNA from Oncorhynchus keta (chum salmon), 2812 nucleotides. RefSeq lists it as uncharacterized. The record is from RefSeq and is a predicted model, not a curated record. The transcript has 3 exons. NCBI's taxonomy places the organism in Eukaryota, Metazoa, Chordata, Actinopteri, Salmoniformes, Salmonidae.
AAAAGAGGUGGUUAGGUUAGCUACUGUCAUUGCUGAACAGUAUAUUGUACCCUAUUGACACUGUAGAAUUGGCAAGGAUGUAAGGUAAUACUUCAGAUUACUUCUUGAUAUACAGUACUAUUUAUAAACUCAGCAAAAAAAGAAAACGUUCAUUUUUCAGGACCCUGUCUUUCAAAGAUAAUUCGUAAAAACCCAAAUAACUUCACAGAUCUUCAUUGUAAAGGGUUUAAACACUGUUUCCCAUGCUUGUUCAAUGAACCAUAAACAAUUAAUGAACAUGCACUUGUGGAACAGUCGUUAAGACACUAACAGCUUACAGACAGUAGGCAAUUAAGGUCACAGUUAUGAAAACUUAGGACACUAAAGAGGCCUUUCUACUGACUCUGAAAAACACCAAAAGUAAGAUGCCAAGUGUCCCUGCUCAUCUGCGUGAACGUACCUUAGGCAUGCUGCAAGGAGGCAUGAGGACUGCAGAUGUGGCCAGGGAAAUAAAUUGCAAUGUACGUACUGUGAGAUGCCUAAGACAGUGCUACAGGGAGACAGGACAGACAGCUGAUCGUCCUCGCAGUGGCAGACCAUGCGCAACAACACCUGCACAGGAUCGGUACAUCCGAACAUCACACCUGUGGGACAGGUACAGGAUGGCAACAACAACUGCCCGAGUUACACCAAGAACGUAGGCCUGUUGUUAGGCAGGUCCUCACCAGACAUCACCGGCAACAACGUUGCCUAUGGGCACUAACCCACCGUCGCUGGACCAGACGGGACUGGCAAAAAGUGCUCUUCACUGACGAGUCGCGGAGUUGUCUCACCAUGGGUAAUGGUUGGAUUUGCGUUUAUUGUCGAAGGAAUGAGAGUUACACACUUGCAGGUGCCUUGGUGGAAGAGUGGGGUAAUAUCUCACAGCAAGAACGGGCAAAUCUGGUGCAGUCCAUGAGGAGAUGCACUGCAGUACUUAAUGCAGCUGGUGGCCACACCGGAUACUGACUGUUACUUUUGAUUUUGACCCCCCCCCCCCUUUGUUCAGGGACACAUUAUUCAAUUUCUGUUCAUCAGAUGUCUGUGGAACUUGUUCAGUUUAUGUCUCAGUUGUUGAAUCUUGUUAUGUUCAUAGAAAUAUUUACACAUGUUCAGUUUGCUGAAAAUAAACGCAGUUGACAAUGAGAGGACAUUCCUUUUUCUGCUGAGUUUAGAUCGAUAUGUUCCAUGCAUCACAUUGUUUUAAUUGAAUAAAUAAUAAGAAUAGUAGUAAGUCAUGAAUCUGGUUAGAAUAUGAUAUUCUGUCUUUGUGCAAGACAGAUAAGUAAUCAGGGGAAUUACUACAUACUAUCCAAAAACUGACCAAGACCCAAUUCUGGCUAAAGGGCAUUUUCACUGCUGCUCCAUUUCACUCUAUAUGUUCAUUAAUGUUAUUUACAUAGCAUGUCAUAAAAAUUGAGAAUUGAGCGUUUCUGCAUUUCACCGGUUAAAAUGGGCCAUCGAAAUUUCUUGGUUGUAAGCGAACCACAAUAUCCACAAUUCAUUGUGAUUUCAAGACGUAGUAGAGGUGGAUACUCUCCUUGAGAAAUAUCUCAACUUCAGUGUUUGGAGCCAGCACUUUCAGCCCGAGGAUUUCGAACAGACCUGAAGUCUCAACUGAUGGGGUUGCCAGGUGUCACCCCCCUCUCCUCCCCACCAAUCCAAGCACCAUCAUUAUGCACACCUGGACUUCAUCACCUUGAUUACUCUACAUUUAUUUAGCCCUCUGGACACGUCGCAAAAAUACAUUUAGAAAUACAUGUUAUUCAAUUAUUGCACCCACACUGCUCACGGGCGCCAACAAGCAUCUGCUUUGCCAAGGGCUAGAAUAGAACUCGUUUAUAUUUCUGACCGCAGAUCACGCUGCAAGUCCUGCCUCUCCCAUCAGUUAUACCCAGAGGAAGGCAUCCGAUCAGUGCAGCAGAAAAGAAGUCGAGCUGAGAUGACUAAGUUAACCCUACUUUCAUGAGUCAACAGACAACAAUUCAGCCUCGCUGAAGUUUGUCCGGAGAAAUGCAGUGUACACAUUCAUUUGAGUAGCUUAUUGUGAAGGUAGGCUGAUGUCAUAGUAAAUAUCAUAACUCACACACACACAGAAAACAGACUGCAUUCUUACUCUCUCCCACAAAAUGCAAAUCAGGUCACAUUUCAUGAUUGUCUAACCCAGCUAAAAUCGCUCCACCACCUAGGUGAAGUGGAGUAGAGUCAGGAUAGGUGGAGUAGAGUCAGGAUAGGUGGAGUAGAGUCAGGAUAGGUGGAGUGGAGUAGAGUCAGGAUAGGUGGAGUGGAGUAGAGUCAGGAUAGGUGGAGUGGAGUCAGGACUACAACAAGGCUGGACAAUCAUGGGUGGCUUUGACCCGGGUGUUGAUGUACACAGUUUGUAGGAACGCAACAGUACUGCCUUGACUGUAUACAGAGAGAUGCCUGAUUCUUAGUUCUCUGGGCUAAACUGAGAACAGCAAACUGGUCAUGUAUGGACCGGAUCCAUGACGACCAUUCAACAAUCUACCCAUGAGUCGUACAGGACUGAGGACUCCCAGGCUGUGUGAUGCAGACAGAGGCUGAGCACGCAGCAAUAUUGUACUAUGGACAGAAAAACUGAAAUACAUCACAAUGGGUCCACGUUUUGUUUGGUUUAUCAAUCAAUGACUGUUCUGAUCAUGUUCAUAUAACCAAUUACAAGACGAGCAAACAAUGGAAUGGAAAAUAAAUGACAAUGUACAGAAAGCCCACAUUCAUUAGUUUACUCCUGCACUCAGCAUCCUAUCACACAUUGAGUACUGGGGGUUCCCAA